This 217-nucleotide unclassified non-coding RNA is filed under the name plant metagenome. RNAcentral's name for it is "partial contains small subunit ribosomal RNA, internal transcribed spacer 1, and 5.8S ribosomal RNA". The stretch from base 1 to 54 matches the Rfam family "Eukaryotic small subunit ribosomal RNA", at positions 1778 to 1831 of the family's 1831-position model. The record is from RNAcentral.
GGAAGUAAAAGUCGUGACAAGGUCUCCGUUGGUGAACCAGCGGAGGGAUCAUUACCGAGUUUACAACUCCCAAACCCCUGUGAACAUACCAUUUGUUGCCUCGGCGGUGCCUGCUUCGGCAGCCCGCCAGAGGACCCAAACCCUUGAUUUUAUACAGUAUCUUCUGAGUAAAUGAUUAAAUAAAUCAAAACUUUCAACAACGGAUCUCUUGGUUCUG